Molecule: ribosomal RNA, 415 nt
Filed under: uncultured bacterium
Lineage: Bacteria
Description: partial 16S ribosomal RNA
Rfam family: Bacterial small subunit ribosomal RNA
Source: RNAcentral
AAUAUUGCGCAAUGGAGGGAACCCUGACGCAGCGACGCCGCGUGAGCGAUGAAGGCUUUCGGAUCGUAAAGCUCUGUCCUUGGGGACGAAGGCGGUCAUUUUUGGCCACUUGACGGUACCCAUGGAGGAAGCCCCGGCUAACUACGUGCCAGCAGCCGCGGUAAUACGUAGGGGGCAAGCGUUGUCCGGAAUUAUUGGGCGUAAAGGGUGCGUAGGCGGCCUUUUAAGUCAGAUGUGAAAGACCACGGCUUAACCGUGGGGUUGAAUUUGAAAGUGGAGGGCUUGAGUAUCGGAGAGGGUAGUGGAAUUCCCAGUGUAGCGGUGGAAUGCGUAGAUAUUGGGAGGAACACCAGUGGCGAAGGCGACUACCUGGACGAAAACUGACGCUGAGGCACGAAAGCUAGGGGAGCAAACA